RNAcentral lists this ribosomal RNA (1096 nucleotides) under Salmonella enterica. RNAcentral's name for it is "partial 23S ribosomal RNA". It matches the Rfam family "Bacterial large subunit ribosomal RNA", at positions 657 to 1750 of the family's 2925-position model. The record is from RNAcentral. Lineage: Bacteria; Pseudomonadati; Pseudomonadota; Gammaproteobacteria; Enterobacterales; Enterobacteriaceae.
AUAGGGGAGCCGGAGGGAAACCGAGUCUUAAUUGGGCGUUAAGUUGCAGGGUAUAGACCCGAAACCCGGUGAUCUAGCCAUGGGCAGGUUGAAGGUUGGGUAACACUAACUGGAGGACCGAACCGACUAAUGUUGAAAAAUUAGCGGAUGACCUGUGGCUGGGGGUGAAAGGCCAAUCAAACCGGGAGAUAGCUGGUUCUCCCCGAAAGCUAUUUAGGUAGCGCCUCGUGAAUUCAUCUCCGGGGGUAGAGCACUGUUUCGGCUAGGGGGCCAUCCCGGCUUACCAACCCGAUGCAAACUGCGAAUACCGGAGAAUGUUAUCACGGGAGACACACGGCGGGUGCUAACGUCCGUCGUGAAGAGGGAAACAACCCAGACCGCCAGCUAAGGUCCCAAAGUCAUGGUUAAGUGGGAAACGAUGUGGGAAGGCCCAGACAGCCAGGAUGUUGGCUUAGAAGCAGCCAUCAUUUAAAGAAAGCGUAAUAGCUCACUGGUCGAGUCGGCCUGCGCGGAAGAUGUAACGGGGCUAAACCAUGCACCGAAGCUGCGGCAGCGACGCUGAUGCGUUGUUGGGUAGGGGAGCGUUCUGUAAGCCUGCGAAGGUGGCCUGUGAGGGUUGCUGGAGGUAUCAGAAGUGCGAAUGCUGACAUAAGUAACGAUAAAGCGGGUGAAAAGCCCGCUCGCCGGAAGACCAAGGGUUCCUGUCCAACGUUAAUCGGGGCAGGGUGAGUCGACCCCUAAGGCGAGGCCGAAAGGCGUAGUCGAUGGGAAACGGGUUAAUAUUCCCGUACUUGGUGUUACUGCGAAGGGGGGACGGAGAAGGCUAUGUUGGCCGGGCGACGGUUGUCCCGGUUUAAGCGUGUAGGUGUGUGUUCCAGGUAAAUCCGGUUCACUUUAACACUGAGGCGUGAUGACGAGGCACUACGGUGCUGAAGCAACAAAUGCCCUGCUUCCAGGAAAAGCCUCUAAGCAUCAGGUAACAUCAAAUCGUACCCCAAACCGACACAGGUGGUCAGGUAGAGAAUACCAAGGCGCUUGAGAGAACUCGGGUGAAGGAACUAGGCAAAAUGGUGCCGUAACUUCGGGAGAAGGCACG